GGAAGGAUCAUUACUGAAUUGUCAAACGGGCUGUUGCUGGUCCUCAAAUGGGGACACGUGCACGCUCUGUUUACACAUCCACUCACACCUGUGCACCCUCUGUAGUUCUACGGUAUGGGGGACCCCGUCUUCCUUCUGUGGUUCUAUGUCUUUACACACACACUGUAAUAAAGUCUUAUGGAAUGUAUGCCGCGUCUAACGCAAUACAAUACAACUUUCAGCAACGGAUCUCUUGGCUCUCGCAUCGAUGAAGAACGCAGCGAAAUGCGAUAAGUAAUGUGAAUUGCAGAAUUCAGUGAAUCAUCGAAUCUUUGAACGCACCUUGCGCCCCUUGGCUAUUCCGAGGGGCAUGCCUGUUUGAGUAUCAUGAACACCUCAACUCUCAUGGUUUGCCAUGACGAGCUUGGACCUUGGGGGUUUUGCUGGCCUGUGGUCGGCUCCUCUCAAAUGAAUCAGCCUCCCAGUGUUUGGUGGCGUCACGAGUGUGAUAACUAUCUACGCUCGCGGUUGUCCACCAGGUAACCUUUGGUGACAAAGGUUCGCUGGAGCUCAUAGAUGUCUCUCCUCAGCGAGGACAGCUUUUUAACGUUCGAUCUCAAAUCAGGUAGGACUACCCGCUGAACUUAAGCAUAUCAAUAAGCGGAGGAAAAGAAACUAACAAGGAUUCCCCUAGUAACUGCGAGUGAAGCGGGAAGAGCUCAAAUUUAAAAUCUGGCGUGCCUCUGGUCGU
RNAcentral lists this ribosomal RNA (730 nucleotides) under uncultured fungus. RNAcentral describes it as "eukaryotic LSU rRNA". The stretch from base 213 to 367 matches the Rfam family "5.8S ribosomal RNA". Lineage: Eukaryota; Fungi. The record is from RNAcentral.